GGCUCUUCCGGUGUCAUGGCGCCAAAGAACUUUACCGUCCUACAUUGCAGAGUGUACCCUCGCUGGAUACGCUGCUUUGUGUGAACUCUACAAGCUACAGCCUGUAUAGGAAAUACCCUAGGAGACCCUCAAGCUGCGCAAUGGUAAAUUGCCUAGUGACCGGGAAGAUGACCUCAAGAGAGAGCCCCUUGUUUCCUCCUCUCAGCCUCCCACCACUGCAGCAUCCCAUUCAGAGCAAAAUCUUUUCAAGCUCCAGAUCCUGA
RNAcentral lists this long non-coding RNA (263 nucleotides) under Cavia porcellus (domestic guinea pig). RNAcentral's name for it is "lncRNA (ENSCPOG00000035556.1)". Lineage: Eukaryota; Metazoa; Chordata; Mammalia; Rodentia; Caviidae. The record is from RNAcentral.